Molecule: ribosomal RNA, 829 nt
Filed under: uncultured bacterium
Lineage: Bacteria
Description: bacterial SSU rRNA
Rfam family: Bacterial small subunit ribosomal RNA
Source: RNAcentral
AACACGUACACAACCUUCCUUUAAGUGGGGGAUAGCCCAGAGAAAUUUGGAUUAAUACCCCGUAAUAUAGCGAUGUGGCAUCACAUUGCUAUUAUAGCUACGGCGCUUAAUGAUGGGUGUGCGGCUGAUUAGAUAGUUGGCGGGGUAACGGCCCACCAAGUCUACGAUCAGUAGCUGAUGUGAGAGCAUGAUCAGCCACACGGGCACUGAGACACGGGCCCGACUCCUACGGGAGGCAGCAGUAAGGAAUAUUGGUCAAUGGACGCAAGUCUGAACCAGCCAUGCCGCGUGAAGGAUUAAGGUCCUCUGGAUUGUAAACUUCUUUUAUUUGGGACGAAAAAGGGUCUUUCUAGACCAACUGACGGUACCAGAUGAAUAAGCACCGGCUAACUCCGUGCCAGCAGCCGCGGUAAUACGGAGGGUGCAAGCGUUAUCCGGAUUCACUGGGUUUAAAGGGUGCGUAGGCGGGUAGGUAAGUCAGUGGUGAAAUCCUAGAGCUUAACUCUAGAACUGCCAUUGAUACUAUCUAUCUUGAAUAUUGUGGAGGUAAGCGGAAUAUGUCAUGUAGCGGUGAAGUGCUUAGAUAUGACAUAGAACACCUAUUGCGAAGGCAGCUUACUACGCAUAUAUUGACGCUAAGGCACGAAAGCGUGGGGAUCAAACAGGAUUAGAUACCCUGGUAGUCCACGCCCUAAACUAUGGAUACUCGACAUUUGUGAUACACAAUAAGUGUCUGAGCGAAAGCAUUAAGUAUCCCACCUGGGAAGUACGUCCGCAAGGAUGAAACUCAAAGGAAUUGGCGGGGUCCGCACAAGCGGUGGAGCAUGUG